GACGAACGCUGGCGGCGUGCCUAACACAUGCAAGUCGAACGGAGUAAACCGCUGAAUUGAUGGUAGCUUGCUACUGGAUUUUCUUGUUUUACUUAGUGGCGGACGGGUGAGUAACGCGUGAGUAACCUGCCUUACAGAGGGGGACAACAGUUGGAAACGAACGCUAAUACCGCAUGAUAUAACGUAAUCGCAUGAUUGUGUUAUCAAAGGAGCAAUCCGCUGAAAGAUGGGCUCGCGUCCGAUUAGGUAGUUGGUGGGGUAACGGCCUACCAAGCCGACGAUCGGUAGCCGGACUGAGAGGUUGAACGGCCACAUUGGGACUGAGACACGGCCCAGACUCCUACGGGAGGCAGCAGUGGGGAAUAUUGGGGCAAUGGGGGGAAACCCUGACCCAGCAACGCCGCGUGAAGGAAGAAGGGCCUUCGGAUUGUAAACUAGUUGUCGCAAGGAAGAAGACAGUGACGGUACCUUGUGAGAAAGCCACGGCGUAACUACGUGCCAGCA
This 504-nucleotide ribosomal RNA is filed under the name uncultured bacterium. Its description in RNAcentral is "bacterial SSU rRNA". It matches the Rfam family "Bacterial small subunit ribosomal RNA", at positions 28 to 513 of the family's 1533-position model. The record is from RNAcentral.